ACGGCUCUUUUCGCUGCCUUGCAAGCAGGCGCCGGAUGGAAGGAAAGGAAAUCCGCUGAUCGUUAAUACAAGCGCAUCACAGUGCUUGUUUUCACGGCAGGAUCUCCGGUGGUGUUGCUGUGAAGCGGUCUUUGCAUGGAUCGCACAAUGAAACGGUACGUUUGUAUCCUGCUUAUUGUUUCUGGCUCGUUACUAUCGCAGGGAAAGGGGAGUUGGAGUAUUUCCAAUAAUUCCGUCUCGGUAAUGGUUAACCUGUCUGGCAAGUCGCUAAAAUGAAAAAACCGCCCGAAAGGGCGGUUUUUUUA
Small RNA from Hafnia alvei FB1, 305 nucleotides. It matches the Rfam family "ryfA RNA". Rfam says of the family: This family consists of a number of bacterial RNA genes of 305 bases in length. The ryfA RNA gene is present in E. coli, Shigella flexneri and Salmonella species where it is found between the ydaN and dbpA genes. NCBI's taxonomy places the organism in Bacteria, Pseudomonadati, Pseudomonadota, Gammaproteobacteria, Enterobacterales, Hafniaceae. The record is from Rfam.